Molecule: ribosomal RNA, 225 nt
Filed under: uncultured Nitrososphaerota archaeon
Lineage: Archaea; Thermoproteati; Nitrososphaerota
Description: uncultured thaumarchaeote partial 16S ribosomal RNA
Rfam family: Archaeal small subunit ribosomal RNA
Source: RNAcentral
ACGGUGAGGGAUGAAAGUUGGGGGAGCAAACCGGAUUAGAUACCCGGGUAGUCCCAGCUGUAAACGAUGCAGACUCGGUGAUGGGUUGGCUUCGUGCCAACCCAGUGCCGCAGGGAAGCCGUUAAGUCUGCCGCCUGGGGAGUACGGUCGCAAGACUGAACUUAAAGGAAUUGGCGGGGAGCACCACAAGGGGGGAAGCCUGCGGUUCAAUUGGAGUCAACGCCG